This is a non-coding RNA of Acanthosepion pharaonis, 112 nucleotides long. The record is from the annotation of a GenBank genome assembly. Lineage: Eukaryota; Metazoa; Mollusca; Cephalopoda; Sepiida; Sepiidae.
UAUGGCCAAAUCACAUUGAAAUACUGUUUCCUAUAUGAUCACUGAAGUUAAGCAACAUCAUGCCUGGUCAGUACCUAGAUGGGUAACUGCUUAGGAAUACCAGGUGCUGUAA